CCUGCAAGUGCAUAGAAGUCAAAAAUUGAGGUUUGGGAUCCUCUGCCUAGAUUUCAGAGGGUGUAUAGAAAUGCCUGAUGUCCAGGCAGAAGUCUGCUGUAGGGGCAGGGCUCUCAUGGAGAACCUCUGCUAAGACAGUGCAGAAGGGAAAUGUGUGGUCAGAGCCCCCACACAGAGUCCUUUCCUGGGGCACUGCCUAGUGGAGCUGUGAGAAGAGGGCCACCAUCCUCCAGACCCCAGAAUGGUAGAUCCACCUACAGCUUGCAAAUUGUGCACCUGGAAAAGCCACAGACACUCAAUGCCAGCCCACUAAAGCAGCCAAGAGGGAGACUAUACCCUUCAAAGCCACAGGGGCUAAGUUACCUAAGACCAUGGGAACCCACCUCUUGCAUAAAUGUGAUCUGGAUGUGAGACCUAGCAUCAAAGGAAAUCAUUUUGGGGCUUUAAGAUUUGACUGCCCCAUUGGAUUUCAGACUUGCACGAGGCCUGUAGCCCCUUCAUUUCAGCCAAUUUCUCCCAUUUGGAAUGGCUGUAUUUACCCAAUGAUUGUAUCCCCACUGUAUCUAGGAAGUAACUAACUUGCUUUUGAUUUUACAGGCUCAUAGGCAGAAGGGACUUGCCUUGUCUCAGAUGAGACUUUGGACUGUAGACUUUUGAAUUAAUCCUGACAUGAGUUAAGACUUUGAGGGACUGUUGGGAAAUCAUAACUGGUUUUGAUAUGUGAGGACAUAAGAUUUGGAGGGGCCAUGGGUGGAAUGAUAUGGUUUGGCUUUGUCCCCACCCAAAUCUCAUCUUGAAUUGUAACUCCCACAAUUCCCACAUGUCAUGGGAGGAACCCAGUAGGAGGUAACUGAAUUAUGGGGGUGGGUCUUUUCCCGAGGUUUUAAAAAAACGGGAGGUUCACUGCACAAGCUCUCUCUCUUGCCUGCUACCAUCCAUGUAAGAUGUGACUUGCUCCUCCUUGCCUUCUGCCAUGAUUGUGAGGCCUUCCCAGCCAUGUGGAACUGUAAGUUCAUUAAACCUCUUUCUUUUGUAAAUUGCCCAGUCUUGGGUAUGCCUUUAUCAGCAACAUGAAAAUGGAUGAAUACACCUUGCUUUCCAAAGAAAACAUUGUUUCAACCAAAUCCCACUCCUACCAUCAAUUGUUGUGAGGAUUGUGUGUCCUCCUUCCUUAGUUCAGAGUCCUCCAAAAGAAGACACUGAGACCAGGUUUCAAGGGUAAGUAGAUUGUCUUGGAGGUGACGUCAGAAACCACUGAUGGAGAAGUGACAAAUGAGACAGAAAGGGAAGGAAUUGAUGACAGGGAAUCUCAGGUGAAAAAAACCUCAGGACUAUCCCACCCAAAUAGCAUGGAAGAGUGAGUAUCAUAUAGCAACUCCCUGAAAGAGUUGUGAACUCCCUUCCAUUUCUGCCCUGCUGGAUGGGAAGAAAAGCGGGUCCUGGUAGCUAAGGAAAUCCCUCAGGCAAGAAGAUAUGUGUGCUGCCAACUGGAAGUUGGGCCAGAGAACAUGGAAGUGGUGAAGGCAGGGCAUAGACAGCAUCCACAGCUCAUAUCCAGUCAUUCUCUCAAAGGGACUUCCAUCACAAGAUCUUAUCUAGUGCAGUUUAUUAGAAAAGCAUAUGAAAAGGCUUUCAAAUUAUUAAUAAGAAUUCUUAUAGAAAUGUUCAUCUGUGUCAGGCACCAUAUUUCUGGCUGGGUGAACAUAGAUGUCCUUUACUAUCAAAUUCCAUGGGGCCCAUGAGAAGAGAAUGCAGGACCAGCCAGAUGGCUCAUGCCCAUUGCCAUUUUUACUUUGCUUCUAUGUUACAAGCUGACAAUUUUGCUCUGUGUGUACUGUAAAAUAGCAGACAUUUUCCAAAUUUUGCUCUGGCUUACACUGUUCCUUUUUGCUUUUUCAUUUAUCUUUCUUGUACCCAUAGUUAAAAAAAAAAAAAGCAUUUCACAGAGGUAAGGUUAAGGCUAGAGGCUUAUGUGGUCAGAACAUUUGAGCUCUUCUUGUAAAGGUUCAAGUGAACCUUGUCCUUCCCCAUCUCUGCUUCCUCAGGAAUGAGUUUUCAAAUAUUUCAUUCCAUUUCACUAAAAUCUAGCAAGGCUGGGUCAAGGGCCAAAUAUCUUUGUUCUAAUUCCCGCUCUGCAAAUGAGUACGCAAGUCUCCCCCACCUGCUGACAGAGUCAUCAUAUAGCACAGUGGCAAUGGCUGGCCAUAGACAUUAUCACAGAUAUCACAUUGGAAAUAUUUGUGAAUGACAAUGGGUCAGAUGCCUCAGAUAAAGCUAUCGCAAAAGAUGUAAUCACUGUAGCUAUUAGACUGACAGAAGAAAAUCUAUCAGAGCAAUUCCAAGGAUGCAACUGUGAAGGAUAAGUUGUUCUUCUGGGAAUGUGAGUGUCCCUUGCAGGAACACUGAUGGAGAAUCUCAAAGCCCUGAAGCCCUUAGGGGAUUCAAAGGUUUGAGUUGGCUUCAGCAGCAGCACCACAGGGUAGGCAGAUGUGGGAGGAUGGAAGUUCUUCCUGGGAGCAAGUGAACAGGGGUGAACAAUUUCAGAACUACAGUCUGAGAUCUCACUGAAAAAGCCAUUCAUCCAGAAGACAGGAAAUCAAGAACAGGUCUAGGAUACAGAAAAACUGGGGUCAGUUGGUAAAGAUGGUGGCCAUAGCCCUUAAUCCUCUGAUCCUAUUUUUCACAUAUUUUUCAAUGUUGAGCUUUGUUUCAUUUAUAACUUUUUUUUUUUAAGAUACAGGUAAGGGGCUCACUCUCUCACCCAGAUUGGAAUGCAGUAGUGUGAUCUCAGCUCACUGAGCCUCGACCUCCUAGGCUCAAGCAAUCCUCCCACUUCAGCAUCCUGAGUAACUGGGACUACAUGCACGCACCAUUACACCUGGUUAAUUUUUAUAUUUUUUUUUAUAGAGACGGGACUUUGCCAUGUUGCCUGGGCUGGUCUGAAACUCCUGGCCUGAAGUGACCCACUUGCCUCAGCCUCCCAAAGUGGUGGGAUUAUAGGCUUGAGCCACUACACCCGGCCCACAACUAACCUUUCUUGAGCACUACCUAGGUGUAGGGACCAGUCUCAAUGCUUUGCUUGCAUUAAUACAUGUAAUCCUCACUAUGCUAUGAUUCUGGUAUUAUUAUCAUCCCAUUUUACAAAUGAGAAAAAUUGGAUGCAAUUAAGGUUGUAAAUCUUUCCCAAUGAGUGAAUGGGCAAACAAGGAGGAGAAUGCAGGCCAUUUGUAUUGAAUUGUACCAUGUGCUUCCUCCAUGCAGGCAGGUGGAAGGGGACGAAUAGAAAGGGAAGCAGGAGGAUGUGUGGUGCUAUGGGCACCUUUGCAUGGGAACAGAGCAUCUUGAGUGGGUGGUUUCAACUCAGAAAAGGAAGGCAGGCUACAUGGGAGGAUAAGAAGAAUUGAUAAGAGAGACAACUCAGUACUUCACUGUAGGUGAAGAAAAGGAAGAGUGGCUGAACUCAGAGUAGUGGCAGAGCAAUGAGGAGAGAAAGUUUGGAGAGAAGGGAUCCUGUGUCUUAGGGAGAAAGAAUUUAAGGAAUUUGAUGACUAGGAGGUGAUUCCACCCACCCCUGACCAGACGUCCACUGCCACUCUCUGGUGGUACCUGGUUGUGUUAAUUCUUCCCAGUGGGAAAACCUGUAGAGUGCUGCCUUCUCUGUGGGUGUGCUGGCUCUGAUCACUGCCUCCUCUCUUCCUGCAGCUCAUGGGGACCCAGCUGUGAUGGCAGUGCUGAUCCACAACCCAACAGUAUGGGCUUUCUCCACCCACACUCUUUCUGGGUAAUUGCUAGGGAAGAUUCACAUCACUUCAGGAUUCUUCAAUGGACCCACUUAAACAUGAGUUAAGUAACUACCUAUGGAAGCAUUCAUUUGUUGUGUGCUUCCUGGAUAUCAGGCACCAUGACUAGCACUGUGCAGGCCCUCUCUUGCUUCUUAAUUCUCACAGCAAACCUUAAAAAAGUAUAUUACAAUCCCUGUAUUGAUAAUGAAGAAACCAAGAUGCAGAGAGGUUAAAUAGUUAUUCAUCUGUCAUUCAGCUUGGAAGUGCCAGAGAGGCAAUGAUUGACUUGUGUCUAGAGCCUACUACCUGGAAGGCCAGACCAAACCCCCUGUGUCACCAGCAACUCAUGCCUUGCACACCAUGCACCAAGAAGUGUAUCCUUCAUCCAUCUGUUCAUAUUAAUUCCAUAUUUUCUGACUUCUUCUCUGGGAAGAACCUGUACUAGGCCCUGGAGAAUCAAAGAUGAAAGAGAUACAGCUCCACUUAUGAAUGGCAUGAGGAUCUCUGAUGUUCAAAGAGUGGACAAGAAAAAGAAACCUAAGAGGCUUGGAAGAGAGGACAACAUCUUACUCUUUUGCCCUGGCUGGAGUGCAGUGGUGUGAUCAUGGCUCACUGUUGCCUUGAACUCCUAAGCUCAAGAAAUCUUCCUGUCUUAGCAGCCUGAGUAGCUGGGACCAUAGGUACAUGCCAUCAUACCUGGCUCAUCUUUUAUUUUUAUUUUUGUAAAGAUAGAGUCUCGCUAUGUUGCCCAUGAUGGUCUCAAGCUCCUGGCCUCAACAAUUCUCCUGCCUUGGACUCCCAAAGCACUGGGAUUACAAGCAUAAGCCACUGUGUACAGCCCUGUAUCUGUACAUUUUCACAUUGCCUGGUAAUAUGCGUGUCUUACCCCCCAGUUGUAAAUCUUUUAAAAUAUAGACAGUAUCUCAUUGUUGCUCAUUGUUGCUCCUGUAGCAGUACCUAUCUCAUCACAUGGUGAUUAAUAUAAAUAAUCAAUGUGUAAUCAGUAUGGCUGGAUGGUUAAGUGACUGAAUGGAAAUGAAGGGCAUUCCAAGUGGAUGGAUCUAUAGGAGCAAAGGCCUUCAAGCGGAAGUUUAAGAUAUGUGAAAAAAAAAUACUAGGAGACAAGGUCCUAAAGGAAAAUUAGUGCUAUAUCCUAGGGAUGUCAGGCUGAGAAUUAGAAAAUAUAUCUUGGACACAAUAGGCAAUCAUCGAUCAACAGAAUAUUCCUGUGGUUAUACUGCAUUCACCCUUUUUUUUUUUUUUUAAGAGAAGACCUACCUCUAUAUUUGCUGGAUAUAGGAUUCAAAAGAGAACUCGCAACCUUUGCACAUGAUCUUAUCUCCUUGCUACAGCAAUUGUUCAAAGGGUGGACACUGAACUAACCAGAGAAUGCUGCCUUCUUGUUUAUCCAAGGAUGUUGUUGGGCUCAGAAAAUAAUAUCCCAAAUGGUGCUUUGGCAUGCUGAGCACUUUGAAUUUUGAAUUAAAGGAAAUUGGAAGGCCUUAGAAGCUGCCUCAAAAUCAAAAUCUUUCUGACCUUUCCUUGUUUCUGUCCCCAAGUGUGGGGAGGGGCUCUCUCUGAGUUCCUUUAUCUGACUCAGAAGUACUUCCAAAAGAAACAUAAUUGCCUUCAAUCUCCUGUCUGAAAUCUCAUUAACUAGGAAAGAUUAAUCACUGAAGAAGAAACUAAAGGUUAUGCCACACUCCCUUUAACAGACUUUUCAUCUAUUCUUCUGAGGGUGGCUAUCUGAAAGACUUUAUCUGCAUAAGAAAACCUUUGUUGGCCGUGCAGUUCUGCCCCUCACCUUCCCAUAACUUCUUGCCACCUCCCCCAGAGUCCAGAGGAAAUUUGUCCCAGGCUAUUGCCUGUUAUUGAGGCUCAUUCAUCUCCCCUAAAUAUUAUUUACUCUUUCUUUAAAAGUGCUUACACCUCCCACUUUUCUCUCCCCUAUGAAGAGGUAUUUAAGCUUCAAGCAUCUGGCCUCCUCCUUUGAAUUUCAAGCUAAGUGUGACUCCCAUGGGCUUUCACAUUAAUAAAUUUGAACAUUUUUCUCCUGUUAAUCUGUCUGUUGCUAGUUUAUUUUAGCAGAUGUAGAGAUGAAAGCCUUCAGAAAGCAAUGUUAGAAUUCCUUUUGUGCCUACGAUGUGCACAUAACCAAACUCAGGUCAAUCAAGGGACUUCUCUGGGAUAAUUUUCUAACCUGCACCAGGAAAAGAAGUGUCUUUCCCUAUAAGGGUAUAUGCUGUCAUUGGCUAGGUUCCCCAUCAUGGACAAAAAGUGGGUCUAAAGUUAAAGAAACUCAAUGCAACAUGCAAAGAAGAACAAAGAUAAGAAGGAGCAAGAGAAGUACUUGGUGCCUGUUGUCAGGCUACUGCCCUUUUACCCAGGUAGGCCAGUUGAAUCUGGGCCUCUAUAACCUACAAUCAGGUACUUGUGAUUGCAUAGCUUCUUUCUCAUUGCAACAGCACCCUGGACUUUAAGGAGAGUCCAGGAAUGACUCUCUGGCUCAACAACACAUGUCUCAUCACUACAUGCUGCCCAGAGAUUUAUUUCAAAAGGGAGACUAUAAUACCAAGGGGAGCUUCCCCUAAGAGUCAUCAACAUGAAGCCCAUCAUGUCUAUGUCCCCAUUUAUUCUCUUUUUAAAUGCUAAACUUCUUUAAAUAGUUAUAAAUAGAAGAUUUCAAACAGGAGAGAUGAUAUACAGAUACAGAGAUAAACUAAACCAGAUUAGGUGUUUAAAAGAUGUAAUAAAAUAGCAUCCUUUUCACCAGAUUUUUGAAGACAGUGACAAGGGGUGUUGGGAACUGUGCAUUAGAAGUAUAACGCUAUAGAAAGACUUUUGUAUCUAUUUCAGAAUUUUUGCUAUGUAAUACAAUAACAGUAAGAAAAGAAGCAAGAGCUAGCUGAGAGACCUAAUUUUAAAAAAAGACAUUUCAGACUUCUCUUGGCACGAAUUUGCAUCUUAUUAACAUCGAGCUGAUAAGAGGUCUUAUUUUCACAUUUAUUGCAGAAAGAAUUAUCUCUUUUCAAUGAUACUUGAGUCCAAUAUUAUACACAUAGCACAUGAAAUGCAGAUGAAGUUUCAAGCCCAUCAUAUCCAAGGUUUGACAAGAAUAAGUGAGAUGACAACAAUUAAACAUAAUUUCUGAAGCCACAGACCAAGUGUCAUUUAAUUUAUGUAGUCUUCCCAAGUAACCCUGGAAGAAUUAAUCACUUCCUCUUUCUGGUCCAAUAACAUUUUUGAACACACUUUUAUAUAUAAGGUAGACUGUGUUAGAAGCAGCAUAGAGUCACAAGUUGAAAUACCAUUGUUGUUUCCUUCACUGCAAAAUGGAUAUAUUGUAGAAUAUGCAAUCUACAAUUUGAGAGAGAAAAAAACAAGAAAAAAAUGCAAUAUAAGGUAAUUAUCAAAAUUUCUGGCAUUAAGUAAAUUCUCCUAAAUUAGUCAGUAUAAUAGUUCCCUUUUUUUGGUUCAGAUACAAAAGUUGGCCAGCCCUCUCCUGCCCACCAACAUAUCACUCCAAAAUAACCACAGUGAUAAUGACUAGGUGUCUAUUUUUAAUUUUUUCAAAGAAAAUAGGUGAUGAGAAAUGAACCCUAUCCUAUUUGAGGAGACUCUCGACAGGUGACCAGACUUUAACCUAACUGCAUGAUUAUCUAAAUACAGAGAUAACAUAAAUAAAUAGCAAGAAACAGCAUACCCAUCAACAACUGUCGUUUUGCUUUCUUCUUCUAUAUGGUUAUGGAACAUGUGUUGUUCUCCACAUUAUGGUGCAAGGUACUUAUUGUGAUGCCACUUUCAAUGCCAAACUAUAGUAGUGUGUUCAGAAUUUAAUGCAAAUGAAAAUAUAAAAGUAGUAUUAUAAACAGUUUAUGUGGAUGAAUGCAGCUAUUUUUUCCUAAACUGAAUGUGGCUCUUUCCUAAACUGAUUAUUGUGAGUUUUCUGACUUUCUUCUAUAGUCUAUCUUCUUAAAUAUUAUAUCAGCUAUCAGUUACUUCUCAAAGUCUAUCUGCUUUAAUCAAUUCUGAACAUGUUAUUACUAUCUUAAAGCAAGAAUACAUAAGAUCUAAAUGAAGCCUGGAAAAUGCAUUUAUCCAAAAAAAUGUGAAUGUAGUGCAAGCAUUUUUUGAUGUGUAUUUUGGCUUUUGCUUACCACUUCUGCUUUAAAUAAUUGACGUUGACUUAAACACUUCUGAUAAGAUGUCCUACAUGCUUAUAAUCUAUUUGUCAUAUAUACUUUUUAGGAUGAUAUAAAGUACAUGAAGCAAAAAGAUGACAUCAUCUAAUCGUGUUACUGUGAGCAGAGAAGAAUUCAAAUUCAGGCAUCCAGGGUAACCAAUUUUAUGGGACACAUGUGACUCAGCCUUAGCCUCCUUCUCUACAAUUACAUUUCCCCACCUGGGAUUUCACAGAUCAGCAGUAAACAAACUCCAAGUUUCAUUUCCGUAAAGUGACAGAAGAUGGGUCCCCUGAGUGAAGACGGCCUUCUACCCUUCAUCUGAGAAAUUUAAACCAGUAGAUUUGAUAAUAAAUGUUAAGGGUAUUCAAUUAACAUACAAAGUGGCAGCUGGAAAGGGCACCGCAGACAGAUGUCUGGCUAGAGUCAGUUCUGUGCCCAGGAGAGACAAAGUAGCUAAUAAAUGCUGUUCUCUAUUUAUGUGUUGACUUCUGAGACACUCCACUUUGAGUGUUUUCUUGGUAAAGAGUUCAUCUGAUCUCAAGAACCCACCCCCCAAGGAGGGAAAGUCCAUUGUCUUUGCCUUAGAUUGGCAGGUAGAGUAAAUGAAAAAUUAAGAAAUUAUGUGAAUUCCCCCAAAGAGAAGAGAAGGGCUAGAGUGACUAUUUUAUGUUACGUGGAGAUGAGGGUGUGCUUAUUCUUUCAGCUGACAUAAUCUAUUAACAUAUGUAAAAUGCUUAUAAAGAGUCUCCAGCACAUGUUAAGUGCUGAAUAACACAGCCACCACCACCACCAGCAUCACAUACUAUUGACAGGCAUUGUACUAACUUCCUGGGAUUCAAACAUUAAACAUACAUAUUAAACAUAUGUACAAAUAAAACACCUCUAUGUGUUCAAAAAAUACACGUAUACAAAUGAAUAAGUCCAAUAGACUUCUGUGAAAAGUGAAUCUACAAAGACUCACAUAAAAUCAUGGUUAUGGCUGGUAGACUAGCAGGUUAAGUGAAGGAGGUCUUCAAGGAAGAGUUAGCACAAUCUAGGAACUGUUCACCAAGCAGGUAAGAGAAAAAGACCUUCACAAACACGGAAGAAACAAACACACCCUGGUAAACUUGGGGAAUUAUAAGAAGCCCAGUUUGACUGUUGACUCUGAUGUGAUGAGUUAAGGGAAAGAAAUGAGGCUAGGAGGAGGUAAACUUGUGGGCUCACUUUGUGGAAGUCUUUGCUGCCCUACUAAGGAAUUGGAGCUGUAUGUCAUAGAAAUCCAUUUGACAAUUUCAAGGGGGCCAUGUUACAGGAUCUCUAAAGAUAGCAUGCCCUUCAAUUUGCAAAAACACAUGCCAUUUAAACUCCCUGUGCUGACUUCCUCACUAAUAGAGUGAAGGUUAUUAUGGAUGGAAGGAGUAACAUGAUAGAAGCAAAAGCAACGCUAAAACAUUACAGGGAUGUAUGAUAUACUAGUUUAUUUUCACACUACUAUAAAGAACUACCUGAGACUGGGUACGUUAUAAAGAAAAGAGGUUUAAUUGACUCACAGUUCCACAUAGCUGGGGAGGCCUCAGGAAACUUACAAUCAUGGAGAAAGGCCAAGGGGAAGAAAGGCAUGUCUUACAUGGCAGCCAGGGAGAGAGAGCAAGGAUGAAAUCAUCAAAUCUAGUGAGAACUCACUAUCCCGAGAACAGCUGAGGGAAAUCCAACCCCAAUGAUCCAGUCAUCUCCCAACAGGUCCCUCCCCUGACACAUGUGGAUUAAAAUUCUACAUGAGAUUUGGGUGGGGACAAAGAACCAAACCGUAUCAAGGGAAAUCACAGAAUUUUGUGUUGUCAUCAAAAAUUUGAAAAAAGCAGGGUGGAGGUGAGUCUUAUCACAUCUCCAUUUAACUUGCCUGUCUGAUUCUUAUAGAAGUUGGAUGGGUUUCAGACACAGCCAAUGGAUUAUUGCAAACAAAACAGAGUUGACUCCAAAAUUGCUAUAGCUAUUCCAGCUGUAGUCAUUUUACUGGAUCAAAUAAACACAGCUUAGGAACGUAGUAUGGAAUUACUCAAAAAAAUUAUUUACUUCUAUCCCAGGGAUCCACAAGCAAUACCCAUGGGUAAAAUCUGAUCCUCAGUUUUUAUAAAUAAAGUUUUAUUGGAACACAAUCAUGCCCAUUCCCUAACAUAUUGCCUAUGGCUACUUUUAUGCCACAGUGACAGAGUUGAAUAGCUGCAAGAAAGAUUGUGGCUCACAAAGCUUAAACUAUUUAGUAUCUAGCUCUUUUUAGAAAAAGUUUGUUGACACCUGCCCUAUCAUAAUGAAGACGAGAAGCAGGCUGCUUUCACGUAGCAUAAACAUCAGUAUACCUCUCCUGAAACUAUCCCAGGCCAUGAUAACUCUUAUGUGCUCUUCAAAACUCAGUCCACAGAAUUUUGAUCAUUUUAAUAUGCCACAGAACAUCUUACUGGUCCACAUACACAUUUGGUUUCUUGCUGAUAGGAUCUGGUGAUCAGAAAAUAGAAAGUGCCUCUGAAAGAGAAAACCUGCAUGAUCUUGCUUGUUUAUAGAUUAUAAGUGUCAAACUCUUAUAAGCAAGUUGAAUGGUGGUUACUAGAGGCUGGGCUAGGGGUGGAGGGGAAGACCGGGGAGAUGUUAGUCCAAGAAUACAAUAUUUCAGAUCAACCAGAGAAAAAGGUUCAGGAUAACUAUAUUAUACAAUACAGGGACUAUGGUUAAUAAUAAUAAUGUAACAUACUUGAAAAUUGUGAAGAGAGUAGACUUUAAGUGUUUUCACCAUAAAAAACAUUUUUAAGGUAAUGGAUAUGUUAAUGAGUUUGAUUUAGUCAUUACACAAUGUAUACACUUAUCAAAACAUUAUAUUGUAUGCCAUAAAUGUAUACAACUUUUGUCAAUUAAAA
RNAcentral lists this long non-coding RNA (10857 nucleotides) under Homo sapiens (human). RNAcentral describes it as "HSALNT0144390". The record is from RNAcentral. Lineage: Eukaryota; Metazoa; Chordata; Mammalia; Primates; Hominidae.